CAAUGAAAUGAAAUGGGGUGUUAAGGCCUACUACUACUGUACUACUUUUACUAGGCCUAGCCAAGCUAUUACUAACUAUUAGGCAGCUGUUCUGCACCGACUGGACAAGUGAAGACGGGCAUACAUGUACGCCAUACAAAUGACUAUAGAUAACUUGACCCUUGCCAGGCCCUCUGUCCUGGAUCACUGUGAGAAAGUUUCACGGUGGGUAAGACGCUGGCUCGCUAGCCUGUGGUCGGGUGUUUGAUCGCGACAUUGGCCGAGAAAGUUCAUCCCAAUUUUCCGGCAUGGUUCCCCCUUGUCAGUGUUUUGUCAUUCGGAUGGGACCAAAAAUCGAGGUCCUGUGUACACAUUGGGGUGCGCGUAAAAGAUCCAUUGUCAGUUGGAAUUCGAUAUAAGAGUAGGCCGUAGUGCCGCUGUCCGGGCAAAAUUUCUCUCAUAGCACACUGUAUGGCGUAUGCCCGUCUUCAUUAGCCCAGUUCGGGGGGAGAACAGUAGGUUAAACCCCAUUUCAACCAAUGAACCUUCUCAGCCCACACUGGGGUCAAACACAGGACAUCCAGAAAAACGUAAACGAGAUGCUAUUGUAGCCUCAACUGCCCUGUCUCAUGUUUUAGUGGACCACUUGAAUUCAGGUGUUGCUCAAGCUUAUGUUAAUCAAAAGAAACUGGAUACAGAGACAAAGAUUUUAC
Patella vulgata (common limpet) is the source of this 692-nucleotide long non-coding RNA. RefSeq lists it as uncharacterized. The record is from RefSeq and is a predicted model, not a curated record. Lineage: Eukaryota; Metazoa; Mollusca; Gastropoda; Patellidae. The transcript is spliced from 3 exons.